ACCACCUUAACUCAGAUGGAUAGAGUACUCGACCGAUAAUCGAGUUGUCAUUGGUUCAAGUCCAAUAGGUGGUACCA
This 77-nucleotide transfer RNA is filed under the name Rhizobium phage RHph_TM61. RNAcentral describes it as "tRNA-Ile". It matches the Rfam family "tRNA". Rfam says of the family: Transfer RNA (tRNA) molecules are approximately 80 nucleotides in length. Their secondary structure includes four short double-helical elements and three loops (D, anti-codon, and T loops). Further hydrogen bonds mediate the characteristic L-shaped molecular structure. tRNAs have two regions of fundamental functional importance: the anti-codon, which is responsible for specific mRNA codon recognition, and the 3' end, to which the tRNAs corresponding amino acid is attached (by aminoacyl-tRNA synthetases). tRNAs cope with the degeneracy of the genetic code in two manners: having more than one tRNA (with a specific anti-codon) for a particular amino acid; and 'wobble' base-pairing, i.e. permitting non-standard base-pairing at the 3rd anti-codon position. Lineage: Duplodnaviria; Heunggongvirae; Uroviricota; Caudoviricetes; Kleczkowskaviridae. The record is from RNAcentral. RNAcentral also lists the same sequence under 5 other names.